Molecule: long non-coding RNA, 1131 nt
Organism: Carassius carassius (crucian carp)
Lineage: Eukaryota; Metazoa; Chordata; Actinopteri; Cypriniformes; Cyprinidae
Exons: 5
Source: RefSeq, a predicted model, not a curated record
UCUACACCUGCACUGUGGAGAGCUGCAUCACUGCCUGUAGGGCUGCACGAUUAAUCGAAUGCGAUUAAUUGCAUUUGUCAUGCACAUUUAGUGAGUGUAGCUGGUUCUGUGAUUAGCAGUAAAUCUCCAUCACCUGUUUUCAGGUGGAGCAGCAUUUACUACACAGAGCUAUAGUUCUGUCAUUUUAUCUUCAUGGGACCGAGAUGGCUUAUGGUGUCCGUGAGGAGCAGAGAUUGAGAGAUGUAGCCUACAGAAGAGUUUAAAAGUUUCUUAUUGCUGGUUUGAUUUCGAGACUCAACUUGCUCAUUAACAAUGCAGCGACAUGUGGCCUCUUGUCCAGUCUGCUGUUUUGUGAGUCCGCCUACUCACAAAGAUGCUUCACUCAGCUGCUGACCUUGGCUUGCCCUGCCCUACAAAAGCAACAAAGAUGAAUGCUUAUUUGUGGUCUGACCAAUGAGUCCCAUGCCUAUAGCUCACAAGACUUUAUCACAUUUGAAAGAGUUUGAAAUUCAAUCAGUGCAGAAUGAAUUUUCCAAGCAGAGAAUUACAAGAAGAAGUCGAUAACACCGCCACAAUCAGCUUUUACACAGAGGAUUGGGCUCAGGUGAAUAGCAUGGGACUUCUCUCUAGGCUGACAAACAGACAGGACCAUACAGCACACCUGUGGGACUCGGGAAGACCACUUCAUCCCAUUGUGAACAUGACCAAUGAAAAGAAAUAUCCUAUCAAGCAGGCUUUUGUCUGUGCGAUGCUAUAGGAGAGUGGUAUUUGUCUGGCUCUCUCAUCGCAGUGAAGCUAGCUCAAUUACAUUAUCUUGUGCUAAAGGUAUAGUUCCAGGGCAUUCUGUGGGCAAUCAAUCAAUUAAUCAAUCUUUCAGUGUUCAUCUUGAUGUUCUUUCCCAGGUCUGGAAUCUCUGAAAGCACAGAAUGCCAUACCCACUCCUAAAUCUGUUCCUGUGCAUGGACAAGAGUAGGACAUUGAAGUACUUGCUAACAUAGGAAAGUUACAAGUUCUUGAAAUCAGAUUAAACAUCAAAUUAAAAAGUUGAUUUACGAAUGUAAAAGUUUAUUUCAUUUUAUAAAUAAUAAUGAAAUAAAAUAAUACAAACAAUAAAAUUAUUUUAAUUAAAUU